GGCUGGUCCAAAGGUAGUGAGAUCUCACGAUUGCUACAGCACAAUUACUGGUCGACCUAUUUGUCUACCCACCCCACACUACUGCACUUGACUAGUCUUAA
Molecule: Y RNA, 101 nt
Filed under: Echinops telfairi (small Madagascar hedgehog)
Lineage: Eukaryota; Metazoa; Chordata; Mammalia; Afrosoricida; Tenrecidae
Description: Y RNA (ENSETEG00000021884.1)
Rfam family: Y RNA
About the family: Y RNAs are components of the Ro ribonucleoprotein particle (Ro RNP), in association with Ro60 and La proteins.
Source: RNAcentral